AACGAACGCUGGCGGCAGGCUUAACACAUGCAAGUCGAACGCACCGCAAGGUGAGUGGCAGACGGGUGAGUAACGCGUGGGAACCUUCCUUUUAGUAAAGAAUAGCCCAGGGAAACUUGGAUUAAUACUUUAUACGCCCUACGGGGGAAAGAUUUAUCGCUAAAAGAUGGGCCCGCGUUGGAUUAGCUAGUUGGUGAGGUAAUGGCUCACCAAGGCUACGAUCUAUAGCUGAUCUGAGAGAUGAUCAGCCACACUGGAACUGAGACACGGUCCAGACUCCUACGGGAGGCAGCAGUGGGGAAUAUUGGACAAUGGGCGCAAGCCUGAUCCAGCCAUGCCGCGUGAAUGACGAAGGCCUUCGGGUUGUAAAGUUCUUUAGCAGGGGAAAAUCAUGAUGGUACCCUGAAAAUAAGCUCCGGCUAACUUCGUGCCAGCAGCCGCCGUAA
This 446-nucleotide ribosomal RNA is filed under the name uncultured bacterium. RNAcentral describes it as "partial 16S ribosomal RNA". It matches the Rfam family "Bacterial small subunit ribosomal RNA", at positions 29 to 523 of the family's 1533-position model. The record is from RNAcentral.